RNAcentral lists this ribosomal RNA (861 nucleotides) under uncultured bacterium. RNAcentral's name for it is "bacterial SSU rRNA". It matches the Rfam family "Bacterial small subunit ribosomal RNA", at positions 271 to 1140 of the family's 1533-position model. The record is from RNAcentral.
AGGCGACGACGGGUAGCCGGCCUGAGAGGGUGAUCGGCCACAUUGGGACUGAGAUACGGCCCAGACUCCUACGGGAGGCAGCAGUGGGGAAUAUUGCACAAUGGGCGGAAGCCUGAUGCAGCGACGCCGCGUGGGGGAUGACGGCCUUCGGGUUGUAAACUCCUUUCGCUAGGGACGAAGCUUUUUGUGACGGUACCUAGAUAAGAAGCACCGGCUAACUACGUGCCAGCAGCCGCGGUAAUACGUAGGGCGCAAGCGUUGUCCGGAAUUAUUGGGCGUAAAGAGCUCGUAGGCGGCUUGUCGCGUCGGUUGUGAAAGCCCGGGGCUUAACCCCGGGUCUGCAGUCGAUACGGGCAGGCUAGAGUUCGGUAGGGGAGAUCGGAAUUCCUGGUGUAGCGGUGAAAUGCGCAGAUAUCAGGAGGAACACCGGUGGCGAAGGCGGAUCUCUGGGCCGAUACUGACGCUGAGGAGCGAAAGCGUGGGGAGCGAACAGGAUUAGAUACCCUGGUAGUCCACGCCGUAAACGGUGGGCACUAGGUGUGGGCAACAUUCCACGUUGUCCGUGCCGCAGCUAACGCAUUAAGUGCCCCGCCUGGGGAGUACGGCCGCAAGGCUAAAACUCAAGGAAUUGACGGGGGCCCGCACAAGCGGCGGAGCAUGUGGCUUAUUCGACGCAACGCGAAGAACCUUACCAAGGCUUGACAUACACCGGAAAGCAUCAGAGAUGGUGCCCCCCUUGUGGUCGGUGUACAGGUGGUGCAUGGCUGUCGUCAGCUCGUGUCGUGAGAUGUUGGGUUAAGUCCCGCAACGAGCSCAACCCUUGUCCCGUGUUGCCAGCAACUCUUCGGAGGUUGGGGACUC